GUAUUUUGAGCUGAAACUUCACAGACGCAUUCUGGAGACUUAUAUUACAUCUUGUAAAAAGGGCAUUAUGUUUAAGUUUUAAUGCUUAAAAAUAUUGUCAUUUUGUAAAUUUAAUAGGUGAGCAACCUCUUUUUAUGAAUUCUCCAUCAUCAUUUACCAUUCACUUCAUAAUCUGUUGCUUUGUGUUUCUACAUGACAUGCUUAUAUUAAGCAAUAUCCACAUAUAAAAUUGUGCGCAGCCCACACAGUUUAGUUUUUCUUGUAAUCAACCCUCAAACAUAUUUCCCUGUGCUCUACUUGUUGUGUAAAUGUCCGAGGUGUGUUUUAGUGCUCAACAUGCGCCCACCUGCUCUGAUUCUCUGUAUUACUCAACCUCUGUUCCUGGGCCGUAGAGCAGAUGCAUUAAUGAUAGGGUGUGCUGGGGUCAGUAGAGAUGUUAUGAUCGUAGCUGACCAUUCUGUUCUCUGACCUUCAGCGUGUAAUGGGUCAGAACUGCACAUCUGUGCCGGCCAGGGUCGCAGCGUGUUUGUCACGCCUUUGUCACGCUAACAUGUUAGACUGUAGUUAUAUUCAUGGGUUAUGUAAUCAAAGGUUGAGUCAGAGCUCUUGUUGAAAAGAUUUAAAAUCCACCAAGUAUAAAAUGUACCCGAAAUGCAUCCCACUGGAGUGGUUCGUUUUCCGUCUUUCCAAGAAUGUUUCCCUCAGGCCACUGCAUAAACAUUCAGUGACUGCAAACCGAAAACUAUUAGUCAUUACUAUUAGUGUAAUUUCCAUGUCAUUUCCACCUGUAUACACAUUGUUUAGUGACAGCUUGUCCCAAUUACAUCUCAUUAGUCAUCAGGAAGAGUGUCUGGAGAGGCUGCAGGUUAGUGGAUGUCACAACUUUGGAAUGAAGUUCAGUUGGGAAUGAUCCCUGACACCAAAUCAGCUGCAGGGCUUGGACAAGAAAACAAGACUCAACAUCAUACUGACAUGUCCUGCUAAGUCAAGCUGUCUCAGGUCCAGGUAUGUUGUGAUGAUGGUCCCUCAGAGAAAUAGCAUGCCCCUGACACCCUUAUGAAGG
Long non-coding RNA from Megalobrama amblycephala (Wuchang bream), 1063 nucleotides. RefSeq lists it as uncharacterized. The transcript has 3 exons. The record is from RefSeq and is a predicted model, not a curated record. Lineage: Eukaryota; Metazoa; Chordata; Actinopteri; Cypriniformes; Xenocyprididae.